CAUGUGCCUGUCUUCCCCAUC
Molecule: microRNA, 21 nt
Filed under: Populus deltoides
Lineage: Eukaryota; Viridiplantae; Streptophyta; Magnoliopsida; Malpighiales; Salicaceae
Description: pde-miR164e-3p
Source: RNAcentral